Molecule: ribosomal RNA, 305 nt
Filed under: uncultured bacterium
Lineage: Bacteria
Description: bacterial SSU rRNA
Rfam family: Bacterial small subunit ribosomal RNA
Source: RNAcentral
GCCUACGGGGGGCAGCAGUGAGGAAUAUUGGUCAAUGGCCGAGAGGCUGAACCAGCCAAGCCGCGUGAGGGAAGACGGCCCUACGGGUUGUAAACCUCUUUUGUCGGGGAGCAAAGCGAGUCACGUGUGACUCAUUGAGAGUACCCGAAGAAAAAGCAUCGGCUAACUCCGUGCCAGCAGCCGCGGUAAUACGGAGGAUGCGAGCGUUAUCCGGAUUUAUUGGGUUUAAAGGGUGCGCAGGCGGAGGUGCAAGUCAGCGGUCAAAUUGCGGGGCUCAACCCCGUACCGCCGUUGAAACUGCAUCC